GACGAACGCUGGCGGCGUGCUUAACACAUGCAAGUCGAACGGAAAGGCCCUGCUUUUGUGGGGUGCUCGAGUGGCGAACGGGUGAGUAACACGUGAGUAACCUGCCCUUGACUUUGGGAUAACUUCAGGAAACUGGGGCUAAUACCGGAUAGGAGCUCCUGCUGCAUGGUGGGGGUUGGAAAGUUUCGGCGGUUGGGGAUGGACUCGCGGCUUAUCAGCUUGUUGGUGGGGUAGUGGCUUACCAAGGCUUUGACGGGUAGCCGGCCUGAGAGGGUGACCGGCCACAUUGGACUGAGAUACGGCCCAGACUCCUACGGGAGGCAGCAGUGGGGAAUAUUGCACAGUGGGCGGAAGCCUGAUGCAGCAACGCCGCGUGCGGGAUGACGGCCUUCGGGUUGUAAACCGCUUUCGCCUGUGACGAAGCGUGAGUGACGGUAAUGGGUAAAGAAGCACCGGCUAACUACGUG
RNAcentral lists this ribosomal RNA (467 nucleotides) under uncultured bacterium. Its description in RNAcentral is "partial 16S ribosomal RNA". It matches the Rfam family "Bacterial small subunit ribosomal RNA", at positions 28 to 507 of the family's 1533-position model. The record is from RNAcentral.